CCUACGGGGUGCAGCAGUGAGGAAUAUUGGUCAAUGGACGAGAGUCUGAACCAGCCAAGUAGCGUGAAGGAUGACUGCCCUAUGGGUUGUAAACUUCUUUUAUAUGGGAAUAAAAUGUUCCACGUGUGGGAUUUUGUAUGUACCAUAUGAAUAAGGAUCGGCUAACUCCGUGCCAGCAGCCGCGGUAAUACGGAGGAUCCGAGCGUUAUCCGGAUUUAUUGGGUUUAAAGGGAGCGUAGGUGGUUUGUUAAGUCAGUUGUGAAAGUUUGCGGCUCAACCGUAAAAUUGCAGUUGAAACUGGCAGUCGUGAGUACAGUAGAGGUGGGCGGAAUGCGUGGUGGAGCGGUGAAAUGCUUAGAUAUCACGAAGAACUCCGAUUGCGAAGGCAGCUAACUGGACUGCAACUGACACUGAGGCUCGAAAGUGUGGGUAUCAAACAGGAUUAGAUACCCGGGUAGUC
This 460-nucleotide ribosomal RNA is filed under the name uncultured bacterium. RNAcentral describes it as "partial 16S ribosomal RNA". It matches the Rfam family "Bacterial small subunit ribosomal RNA", at positions 338 to 795 of the family's 1533-position model. The record is from RNAcentral.